Molecule: ribosomal RNA, 505 nt
Filed under: uncultured bacterium
Lineage: Bacteria
Description: bacterial SSU rRNA
Rfam family: Bacterial small subunit ribosomal RNA
Source: RNAcentral
AUCUGGCUCAGGAUGGAACGCUGGCGGCGUGCCUAACACAUGCAAGUCGAACGAAGCAUACGGACCGGAGAUUCGUCGAAGGACUGUAUGACUUAGUGGCGACGGUGAGUAAUGUAUGAGCAACCUGCCUUUCAGAGGGGGACAACAGUUGGAAACGACUGCUAAUACCGCGUAACGUAUCGUGGGGGCAUCCUCGUGAUACCAAAGGAGCAAUCCGCUGAAAGAUGGGCUCAUAUCUGAUUUAGCUUGUUGCGGGGUAACGGCCCACCAAGGCGACGAUCAGUAGCCGGACUGAGAGGUUGAACGGCCACAUUGGGACUGAGAUACGGCCCAGACUCCUACGGGAGGCAGCAGUGGGGAAUAUUGGGCAAUGGGCGAAAGCCUGAACCCCAGCAACGCCGCGUGAAGGAAGAAGGUCUUCGGAUUGUAAACUUCUUUUAUGAGGGACGAAGGACGUGACGGUACCUCAUGAAUAAGCCACGGCUAACUACGUGCCAGCCGCUGC